This 297-nucleotide ribosomal RNA is filed under the name Triticum aestivum (bread wheat). RNAcentral describes it as "partial small subunit ribosomal RNA". The record is from RNAcentral. Lineage: Eukaryota; Viridiplantae; Streptophyta; Magnoliopsida; Poales; Poaceae.
AUCAAGUUAGUUCAAACUAAGUAGUAUUGCCGUUUCCCAUUGGUUUACCGACUCAUCAAACUCGCAUUGAUAUUGCUGGUAGUGACAACAUCAGUUGAAAGGUCUUUCUCAGCCAUGAAUAUAAUAAAAACGUAUUUGAGAAACAAGAUAGGUGAUGAAUGGUUGAAUGAUAUGGUUUGCUAUGGUGAACAAGAUAUAUUUGUUGGGAUUGAAGACAAGAAGAUUAUCGAACAUUUUCAAGGCCUAAGGAAUCGUAGAGGCCAUCUUCCAAAUCCUCCACAUAUAAGUACAACUUAA